RNA transcript from Cynara cardunculus var. scolymus (artichoke), 882 nucleotides. It is a transcript of the gene named thioredoxin-like 3-2, chloroplastic, with no coding region annotated. The transcript is spliced from 5 exons. NCBI's taxonomy places the organism in Eukaryota, Viridiplantae, Streptophyta, Magnoliopsida, Asterales, Asteraceae. The record is from RefSeq and is a predicted model, not a curated record.
CCUGGGGACUCCGUCUUCCUCUGCAACCCCAAGAACUCCCACUCAAACUGAUUUCUCUUUCGCAUAACAUCCUGGAUCUAUAAGUCCAGCCAUGUCCAACGCUAUCCGAUUACUAACUAUUUCACCUCUUCAAUCAGCAAAGUCACUCUAUCUGCCAUCUCACCGUCUUGCGUUUUCAAGUUUUGGAGUUUCAGAUUUUUGUGAUUGUUUGAAGAGAAAGAGUAAUGUAAAUGGAGUCCGUACGAAGGUCUUCACUACGAUUAGUCAGCAAGGAUCGAUUCCUGGUCUUGAUUAUUCUUCUUCUCCUGUUUCAAUCGAGCUGAAACCUAUCUUAAAUGAGAGUCAAUUCGAUCUGGUGAUUGCUGAAGCUGAACAGCUCGAUGAAUCAGUUGUUAUUUUAUGGAUGGCAAAGUGGUGCAGGAAAUGUAUAUAUUUGAAACCAAAAUUGGAAAAGUUGGCAGCUGAUUAUCACCCUAGAGUAAGGUUUUAUUGCAUUGAUGUCAACAACGUCCCUUAUAAGCUUGUGGUUCGUGCUGGAGUCACUUUUGAUGGGCAGCAUUUGCAGACAUUCUGAUUAACGCCUGACUUGUGCAAUUUCAUGUAAAUUUGACCCGUCGGGAUGUAUAAACGGUGCAGAAAAUGCCAACUGUACAGGUGUGGAAGAAUAGCAAGAAACAGGCAGAGGUGAUCGGAGGUCACAAAGCAUAUUUGGUUGUUAACGAGGUUCGUGAAAUGAUAGAAAAUGAGAACGAACCCUAAUUUACUUUUCUUGUUUUUCACUGGUAGUAUAGAAAUUGUUGUUGAUGGUUUUGAAUGUUUGUAUAUCUUGGAGGAUCAGAGAAUAAACAAUAAAACCAUUGUUGUUGAUGGUUUGAGCAGUCU